This 301-nucleotide ribosomal RNA is filed under the name uncultured bacterium. RNAcentral's name for it is "partial 16S ribosomal RNA". It matches the Rfam family "Bacterial small subunit ribosomal RNA", at positions 509 to 809 of the family's 1533-position model. The record is from RNAcentral.
CAGCAGCCACGGUAAUACAGAGGGUGCAAGCGUUAAUCGGAAUUACUGGGCGUAAAGCGCGCGUAGGUGGUUUGUUAAGUUGGAUGUGAAAUCCCCGGGCUCAACCUGGGAACUGCAUUCAAAACUGACUGACUAGAGUAUGGUAGAGGGUGGUGGAAUUUCCUGUGUAGCGGUGAAAUGCGUAGAUAUAGGAAGGAACACCAGUGGCAAAGGCGACCACCUGGACUAAUACUGACACUGAGGUGCGAAAGCGUGGGGAGCAAACAGGAUUAGAUACCCCCGUAGUCCCUGUCUCUUAUAA